GACGAACGCUGGCGGCGUGCUUAACACAUGCAAGUCGAACGGUGAAGCGCCUUCCUUUUUGGUGGGUGUGGAUGAGUGGCGAACGGGUGAGUAACACGUGAGUAACCUGCCCCCUUCUUCUGGAUAACCGCAUGAAAGUGUGGCUAAUACGGGAUAUUCUGGGUCUGUCGCAUGAUGGGUCUGGGAAUGAUAUUGUUUCGGUGGGGGAUGGGCUCGCGGCCUAUCAGCUUGUUGGUGGGGUGAUGGCCUACCAAGGCGGUGACGGGUAGCCGGCCUGAGAGGGUGGACGGUCACACUGGGACUGAGACACGGCCCAGACUCCUACGGGAGGCAGCAGUGGGGAAUAUUGCACAAUGGGCGCAAGCCUGAUGCAGCGACGCCGCGUGAGGGAUGGAGGCCUUCGGGUUGUGAACCUCUUUCGCCAGUGAAGCAGGCCUGCCUCGUUUGUGGGUGGGUUGACGGUAGCUGGAUAAGAAGCGCCGGCUAACUACGUG
RNAcentral lists this ribosomal RNA (494 nucleotides) under uncultured bacterium. Its description in RNAcentral is "partial 16S ribosomal RNA". It matches the Rfam family "Bacterial small subunit ribosomal RNA", at positions 28 to 507 of the family's 1533-position model. The record is from RNAcentral.